UCAAGUUCCAAUUUUUGUGGGGUACCCACGUGGUGAUGUUCUGUACCACGGUUAAGGAGUAGUGACUGUGAGGUGAAAUGGGUCACGAACAUGAAGCUCAACUAUCUGUGGAAUCAGAGUCACCGGCUUUGCUUGAAGAAGAAGAAGAAGGAUAAGUUUUUUAAGUUCCCCUGGAUUCCGCUGAAGAUAUUAAGCCGGAGUAAAGUCCGGAUAGUGCAAAACACUGCAACCAGUCAGUGAGGUUGAUCAUGGAUCUCAGCAGUGGGGGGGACGAGACUGUAAAUUCGCUCAUUCGGUGGCAACGAUUCUUCACUUUCUUCCACUUGAAGUGCACCAUCCAGCAUGGAUUGCAAGCACAAUGCGCAGGUUUGAAGAUACUUGGAAUGAGCAACAACCGCAAGAGAUUCAGUUAGGCCGUGAGAAGGAAUCAAAGGGAGUAAGUAACAUGAAAGUAGGAGAACGUGUUUUCCUUCACAUUAGCUACUCUUGCAUGUGGCAAGGAGGGCAGUUUUUUCCUUCCCCAUUGUGCUGCUCUUGACUGGUCUUGUCACAACGUUGAGCUCGUCUAGUUAUCAAGAAUGUCGAGAAGUAUGUUCGUUACAAGAGCUCGAAGUACGCUGUUCACAAACUGUACCACGUGAAUAGUGGUAAUGACAGCUGAUCUUGUCUUGCAUGUGUGCAGUAAAUCAGACUGGGAUUUCUGACUGUUGUCUUGAUUGGAAUCAUAUUUCCAAACCUCGAAAAGGGUGCCAGGAGGGAUGGUGGUGGAGUAGCGCCUCGAGGCCUCAGAUCGUUUGGGAGUGGAUGGAAAUGAAGUGUUUCAAGGGGAGAAACCUUGUAGAAGCUAUGCAGCAAUACGGAAUGAUACCCACCUAUUUCUUUCCAGUAUUCUAACUCGUUUCAUGGGAAACUCAUGAAUUCAUGUUGAUCGAUUCAUCUUGUGGAUUACACUUAAUUAGCAGUUGCCAUGUACAUCAAGCUAAUAGGUCACAUACAGUAACUGCUGGGUUCGCAAGCACUCGCAUGUAUGGGUGAUGAUUCCAUUUAUCAACACAUGGGCGAGUACAAUAACAUUGCGAUUGCUGCAAAGAAUCUUGGGCAUGAUAAUCUUGCUGCCUGCAUGCUCCAACUACAUACCUUUGAGUAAGCCAUCGCUUCCUGAUCAGUGGUGACAUUUUUCUUUGUCCUUAGCAAUGGCAUGUGGUAUAAGCAAAACGAUGUGUUCUUACGAUGCUCUCGGGGUGACUUAUAAAUGUGCUGAUGUUUUUGAUAUUUUCAUACGAAUCCAGUCACAUUCUGAAAGUUGAGCAUUUGAUACUGUGAAUGGUGCCGCCACCAACCAUGAAUGGAUCAAAAAACACGAAGGGCCUUCUGAUGCGAGACCGUGAAGCUGGGCUUGAUAUUUUCAACUGUUCUCCAACAGAGUCUCGAAAGUCCGAAAACAUUCAUGAGUUGGUGGAUUGCUCGACGUGACUGCGCAAGAUCCAAAUGUAACCAAAGCUCUGUUUCUUCGUGGGAAAGCACACGCAGGGGCUUUGCCAAUCGACUAAUGUGAACUUUAAGGUAAACAGCGAAAGUUGUACAACGUCCUCUUUAAACAGUCCCUGCUAAUACUACCCCAUAGAACAGGCUUGCCUGUUGGUUUUCCAAGAUUCAGCAACUGGUUGUUUCAGUGCAACUACACAUUUCCGAGGCCAACAGUCCACGGAAGAAUCACCCCCUCAAAUCACAAGUCAUGAUGUCCCCGUUUCUCCUCAACUAACAGAAACAAGAUGAUUUGAGUGAUUUCAGUAUUGUAAUUAUUCAAUGUUAAAACUAAUUUUUCAGUAGGGUUGGAGGAGGCAAAAGUUUGUGGGAAGCGACAACAACGAAGUAUGAUGCUUCAGCUUACACUGUGAACCAGGUUUACAAAUGCUUGUCAUUGAUUGAAUUAGUGCUUCAAGGAUGGCUACAGAAAUGAUGCUCUGGAGACAUUUUAGAUGAAUCAUAAUUUGCGAAGCUGUUGCUUGACAAUGCGUAGGAGAUUUAUUUCAAGCUCGUGGCUACUAAUUAGAAGAAGGCAUUGCAUUAUUUGUUUCAAGGAACAGAUGGAUAUUGAAUAUUCAAUAAAUUAUCAUGCUAUAAGCAAUGUGUUUA
Physcomitrium patens is the source of this 2136-nucleotide RNA transcript. RefSeq lists it as uncharacterized. Lineage: Eukaryota; Viridiplantae; Streptophyta; Bryopsida; Funariales; Funariaceae. The record is from RefSeq and is a predicted model, not a curated record.